Molecule: unclassified non-coding RNA, 230 nt
Filed under: Hevea brasiliensis (rubber tree)
Lineage: Eukaryota; Viridiplantae; Streptophyta; Magnoliopsida; Malpighiales; Euphorbiaceae
Source: RNAcentral
GUGAGAAUGCUUUAUCUUAUUUUUGUUGUUUGCUUGCCGAGAAAAUGGACACCUCCCCCUCAAAACUGAGCCCAUGCAAACACACACAUAAAAGUUUGGAAAGAGGGAAAGAUAGAGCGAGAAAUUUGCCUAGAUAUUUCCUUCAUUUUCUCGGCAACACCAAGCUCUUUUUGUUUGAGUGUCUGAACCUCAUACUUCUUUCUAAAAUUUCCAGGGGAAACCACCUGACU